Chenopodium quinoa (quinoa) is the source of this 2405-nucleotide long non-coding RNA. RefSeq lists it as uncharacterized. Lineage: Eukaryota; Viridiplantae; Streptophyta; Magnoliopsida; Caryophyllales; Amaranthaceae. The record is from RefSeq and is a predicted model, not a curated record. The transcript is spliced from 3 exons.
GAGCUUUUUAUUAAUCCCAAUUUCUUCAAUUGCUUUACAUAAUUACUUAAUCAUCUUCUUUUAAGAAUUGUUUCCAAUUUUUCUUCUAUUUCCACUUAAUAGCUUCACCAAUUAACCCUAAGUUGUUCAAUUUUUUGCAGUGAAUUUUGAACAGCCACGGCACAGCGAUGAAGAUUGGCCAACUUCUUGUUUCCGUCGCCCUUAAUUUUAUGUUGCUGGUUGGAAUACUCUUUCUCUACACUCAGUUCUAUGUUGCCUCCAUCUACACUUCCAACCCACCGCCGUCCACCCACGGUAUGUUGAGAAAUUAUCCAAUUUACAAAGUGUGUGUCAUUCUAGAUUAUGGUUUUAUUUUUCUAGUUUUUGUUAGUUUUGUUUGGACAAUUAAAGUUGCUUUAUUUGAAAAUAUUUAUUUGUGGCUGGCGAUUAUUAUUAAUUUGUUCCUAUUCAAAAUUUGACAAUUUGGGGAUUUUGGGAAACUAAUGAUAAAACAAAAAAGAAAAAUAGAGUGGGUUCAUCCUAUUUAGUUCUUUGGCAAUUAUAAUUUAAUGGGUUUCUAUUGAAUUUUGAUAAUAUGAGUUUAAUUAGUGCUUAGAAGAAGAUAAUUGAACUACUAAAACUUAGUUUGGUCUUUUACCCUCUGACUAGUUUUGUGCUUGUCGUUUGAUGAUGGAGUUAGGGCCUUUAGAGUAGUUGCAAUCAUCUAAAUACCAAGGAUUAUUCCAUUGUUUAAUGCUUGAUUUGAGUAUUCCAUUGUUUCAUGCUUGAUUUGUUUAAUUUGUUUAAAGGUAUAUGAGUAUUGUUGAUGUUUUAAUUGGAUCUUGUGUUAUGGUUAGAUAUACAUAUGCAUCACAAAUGCAUUUUGGAUUUUGUCAUUUAGAGAUCAUAUUUUGAUAUAUUUUGUGUACAAGGUACACCACGAGGGUCCUUUGCUGCCAUCACCGUUAACGCAGAUGUUAAAUUGGCAUUGACAUGAACUCGACUCAUAUCUCGUUUUUGUGGUAUUAAAACUUGACUGCAAUUGACUCUUUCUUUGUUUAGACUUGGUGCUUGGAUUCCUUAAUUUGAAAAUUUAUUUGGAUAUAAUAAUAUGAUAACUGAACUUUCUAACUUGUCACUCACCUCAAGAAAGAAUAAAGUAUCUACAGUGUGACAUGCUAUGCACCAAUACAAGAGAUGAUAAUGUUGCACCAAGCACUUUAAAAAUUAGGAAAACAUGCCUCUAUAAGCUAGAUAAAUAGGAGCAUCAACACGACAACACCUUGAUUGAAUAAAGAUUUAAUUUCACAACACUUGAAACCAUAUCUAAACGAAAAUAUCUAUCCUUUUUUUAAUUAUUUUUUUUGGAAUGAAAUAAAACUUUAUAUAUAAGGGUAAUAUUUUGUACUUGUGGUUGAAUAUUAACAAUCUUUGUAUGAAUUUUGGUUGAUAAUGGAGGUUUGAUAUUUAAUGAAUCCAUAGUUCCAUAUGAAAUUUAUUGUAGGUAAAGGUUAGACAUCUCAUCAUUUGCAUUAUCUUAGCUUGUUUAUACAGAAUAUGUAUCUGCAUGCAUGUCAACUCUGUAAGCUGUCCAUAGAUUUUUUGUAUAAUAAAUCAACUGGUCCGACAAAAAACUCAUGCCCUUGAACGAUCAUAGAGCAAUUUUCCUACAAAAUUAAGAAAAAGGUUAUAAUGCUUAGAACUAUUAGUAGAAAAUACUUGAAUUUCUGAAUAAGUAAUCUCUAGCUUGUAAUGAUUAUAGAUACCUAAUGCCAAAAUCUUAAGAUUUAUGACCCACUAACCUCUUGAAUUUUUUUCCUAUGUCUCUUAAUAACUUUAACAUUUAGGCUUUGGCUAGCAUUCAGGAAGUAACAUACCUCACAUUCACAAAGUCUGCACUAGUGCUCUUCAGCAAGUAUUCCUCUACAAUGUAUUAUGUCAUCUCAUUUUGUAAUUGUUUUAAUUAGUUCUCAGAUCUUAAGUCUGUUACAUAACAAGAAAUUGAUAAAGAUUAGAGAUCGUGCAGUGGUUCACAAGUUUAGACAGUGAGGGUCGCAUUUAUGAGUUGUAGUAUAUCAGGUGUGACAGUGCUGACGAAAUAGCAAGGGGUUGUGAUCUUGGUAUUAUAGCAUCAAAAUGCUAGCAGAGACCAAGUAUGAAAUUAUCCAACAAUUUCAAGUCAAGAAACGACUAUUUGGAGUAGUGACAUAUAGAGCUUCAAAUCUUAUCUUCUCAAGGCUUCCUUUUAAUGUCAUCAUGAGAUAUUCAUAUCUUAUUCCUUCUUGUGUUUUUGUCAUACUAUUAUCCCUAAACUAUUGUUAGAGUUAUGUUUUGAUGCAAUAAACAUGUAGUUCUAUAUGAUGUUUACUUGUAAUUUAUUUUUCUAAGUACGAAAUUUUGUAUAUACUCUUAAUUUUUAAUGAAAA